Molecule: ribosomal RNA, 881 nt
Filed under: uncultured Comamonas sp.
Lineage: Bacteria; Pseudomonadati; Pseudomonadota; Betaproteobacteria; Burkholderiales; Comamonadaceae
Description: bacterial SSU rRNA
Rfam family: Bacterial small subunit ribosomal RNA
Source: RNAcentral
UCGUAACCGUGUAACCAAGUGGGGGAUAACUACUCGAAAGAGUAGCUAAUACCGCAUGAGAUCUACGGAUGAAAGCAGGGGACCUUCGGGCCUUGUGCUACUAGAGCGGCUGAUGGCAGAUUAGGUAGUUGGUGGGGUAAAGGCUUACCAAGCCUGCGAUCUGUAGCUGGUCUGAGAGGACGACCAGCCACACUGGGACUGAGACACGGCCCAGACUCCUACAGGAGGCAGCAGUGGGGAAUUUUGGACAAUGGGCGAAAGCCUGAUCCAGCAAUGCCGCGUGCAGGAUGAAGGCCCUCGGGUUGUAAACUGCUUUUGUACGGAACGAAAAGCCUGGGGCUAAUAUCCCCGGGUCAUGACGGUACCGUAAGAAUAAGCACCGGCUAACUACGUGCCAGCAGCCGCGGUAAUACGUAGGGUGCAAGCGUUAAUCGGAAUUACUGGGCGUAAAGCGUGCGCAGGCGGUUUUGUAAGACAGUGGUGAAAUCCCCGGGCUCAACCUGGGAACUGCCAUUGUGACUGCAAAGCUAGAGUGCGGCAGAGGGGGAUGGAAUUCCGCGUGUAGCAUGAAAUGCGUAGAUAUGCGGAGGAACACCGAUGGCGAAGGCAAUCCCUGGGCCUGCUCUGACGCUCAUGCACGAAGCGUGGGGAGCAACAGGUUAGAUACCUGGUAGUCACUCCCUAACGAAUCAACUGAUUGUUGGGCUAACUGACUCAUGACGAAGCUACGCGUGAACUGACAGCUGGGGAUACGGCCGCAGGUUGAAAUCAAAGAAAAACGGGGACCGCGCACCGUUGAGAUGUAUUUAUUCGAGCACUCGAAAACCUUACCCCUUUGACUUGCAGGAACUAACAGAGAUGGUUGGUGCUGAAGAAAUCUG